CUGUUGUUGUUGUUGUUCGUAGUUGAUUACAAUGGAUUGGAAAUUAAGAAAUGGAUUUGAAUUAUUAUUGGAUUGUGAGGCUUCGAUUGAUGUUGUUGUUGGGAAACUUUUGCAAUGUCUGUAGAGACUGUAGUAGAUUCUGUAUGGCUUGAAACCUAAAAACUAAAUUUUACAAUUCUCGGCAAAAGUAACAAAUCUAAAACUUAACUGAGCUCGCCUUCUUCGUUCAAAAGAGAUUUCCACUCAAGUCAAAUUGAUUUUAAAGGCAAUGCAUGUUGUGUGGAGAGCUGAGUGGAAUACAUUUAACUCAAGAGUGUUUUUUUGGCUCUAAAUCAUUGCCAAUUUCAUUGGGGAACUUGCAGCAAAUGUUAAAGUCAACUUGAAGGCGCGAAAAGAAAGUGAAGUGAAAAUCAAAAGGCAGAGCCAAGUAAAAUGCCAAGUCCGUCUGCAGACUGUUGGCCUUUGGCCAAGUGGCACGGCUUAGACUUGGGCCAGAAACCCUAAAACUUUGCAGUUGCACUUUGCUGCAUGGCAAAUAUUUUCAUAUCGCAUGCCAGUCGCAUUUCCAUGGAAUGGCGUUGCUUUGCUUUUCGUAAACAAAUUGCUUUUCCGGCAUCAUUUGUCACAGUAGCAGCAGCAACAAAAUUUAGUUAACUUGUGAAUUCUCAGACUGGCAAGACAAUAGACAAAAACUAAAAAGACCAAAUAACUAUAUAUAACAAAAUAAAAAAAAUAGAUAAAAACAUUUCAGUAA
Drosophila mojavensis is the source of this 754-nucleotide long non-coding RNA. RefSeq lists it as uncharacterized. NCBI's taxonomy places the organism in Eukaryota, Metazoa, Arthropoda, Insecta, Diptera, Drosophilidae. The transcript has 2 exons. The record is from RefSeq and is a predicted model, not a curated record.